Molecule: ribosomal RNA, 440 nt
Filed under: uncultured bacterium
Lineage: Bacteria
Description: partial 16S ribosomal RNA
Rfam family: Bacterial small subunit ribosomal RNA
Source: RNAcentral
CCUACGGGAGGCAGCAGUGAGGAAUAUUGGACAAUGGGGGGAACCCUGAUCCAGCGACGCCGCGUGAGUGAAGAAGUAUUUCGGUAUGUAAAGCUCUAUCAGCAGGGAAGAAAAUGACGGUACCUGAGUAAGAAGCCCCGGCUAACUACGUGCCAGCAGCCGCGGUAAUACGUAGGGGGCAAGCGUUAUCCGGAUUUACUGGGUGUAAAGGGAGCGUAGACGGCAGUGCAAGUCUGGAGUGAAAGGCGGGGGCUCAACCCCCGGACUGCUCUGGAAACUGUACGGCUGGAGUGCAGGAGAGGUAAGUGGAAUUCCUAGUGUAGCGGUGAAAUGCGUAGAUAUUAGGAGGAACACCAGUGGCGAAGGCGGCUUACUGGACUGUAACUGACGUUGAGGCUCGAAAGCGUGGGGAGCAAACAGGAUUAGAUACCCCAGUAGUC